This 331-nucleotide ribosomal RNA is filed under the name Entamoeba gingivalis. Its description in RNAcentral is "SSU rRNA". It matches the Rfam family "Eukaryotic small subunit ribosomal RNA", at positions 470 to 842 of the family's 1831-position model. The record is from RNAcentral. Lineage: Eukaryota; Evosea; Mastigamoebida; Endamoebidae.
ACGACAAAUAACUCUAUUCUUUAACAAAAAGAAUUGAAGGAAUGAACGGAACGUACAUAGUUUUGUGAAAGCAAUUGGAGGGCAAGUCUGGUGCCAGCAGCCGCGGUAAUUCCAGCUCCAAUAGUAUAUAUUAAAGUUGUUGUGAUUAAAAGGCUCGUAGUUGAAUGAAGAUACUAUUGAAAAGGCUUUUCUUUUUAUACAAAAAGAGAAGUUUAGUUAAACAAUAGAAGAAGGAAAUGGAUUACUUUGAAUAAAAUAGAGUGUUUAAAGCAAAACAAUGUUAAUGAAUAAUGAAGCAUGGGACAAUAAGAAGGAGAUUUGAAAGGAUUUC